AAACCAACCGGGAUUGCCUUAGUAACGGCGAGUGAAGCGGCAAAAAGCUCAAAUUUGAAAUCUGGUACCUUCGGUGCCCUAGUUGUAAUUUGGAGAGGGCAACUUUGGGGCCGUUCCUUGUCUAUGUUCCUUGGAACAGGACGUCAUAGAGGGUGAGAAUCCCGUGUGGCGAGGAGUGCGGUUCUUUGUAAAGUGCCUUCGAAGAGUCGAGUUGUUUGGGAAUGCAGCUCUAAGUGGGUGGUAAAUUCCAUCUAAAGCUAAAUAUUGGCGAGAGACCGAUAGCGAACAAGUACAGUGAUGGAAAGAUGAAAAGAACUUUGAAAAGAGAGUGAAAAAGUACGUGAAAUUGUUGAAAGGGAAGGGCAUUUGAUCAGACAUGGUGUUUUGUGCCCUCUGCUCCUUGUGGGUAGGGGAAUCUCGCAUUUCACUGGGCCAGCAUCAGUUUUGGUGGCAGGAUAAAUCCAUAGGAAUGUAGCUUGCCUCGGUAAGUAUUAUAGCCUGUGGGAAUACUGCC
Molecule: ribosomal RNA, 514 nt
Filed under: uncultured Saccharomyces
Lineage: Eukaryota; Fungi; Ascomycota; Saccharomycetes; Saccharomycetales; Saccharomycetaceae
Description: eukaryotic LSU rRNA
Rfam family: Eukaryotic large subunit ribosomal RNA
Source: RNAcentral